Cyprinodon tularosa is the source of this 219-nucleotide long non-coding RNA. RefSeq lists it as uncharacterized. The transcript has 2 exons. The record is from RefSeq and is a predicted model, not a curated record. NCBI's taxonomy places the organism in Eukaryota, Metazoa, Chordata, Actinopteri, Cyprinodontiformes, Cyprinodontidae.
CACAUGCUGCCCUGACCGCAGGCUCACAGGCUCACAGACAGCCUCUACCUUUUUUUUUUCCUCCGCUGCGGGAGUUGACGUGACAAGGAUGAUAUAUUGAUACCAUUCAUGGGAAAAUACAUAGCAUCCCGAUCCACACUCCACUGAAGUAGAUGGUGGUAAUGCACAUCAUAAAGUUGCUUGCCAACCGCCAUAAAACAGAAGCAGAAGAAGAAGAAA